GAACGCUGGCGGCGUGCUUAACACAUGCAAGUCGAGCGGAAAGGCCCUUCGGGGUACUCGAGCGGCGAACGGGUGAGUAACACGUGAGCAACCUGCCCUAGGCUUUGGGAUAACCCCGGGAAACCGGGGCUAAUACCGAAUAGGACCUCUGGCCGCAUGGCCGGGGGUGGAAAGUUUUUCGGCUUGGGAUGGGCUCGCGGCCUAUCAGCUUGUUGGUGGGGUGAUGGCCUACCAAGGCGACGACGGGUAGCCGGCCUGAGAGGGCGACCGGCCACACUGGGACUGAGACACGGCCCAGACUCCUACGGGAGGCAGCAGUGGGGAAUAUUGCACAAUGGGCGGAAGCCUGAUGCAGCGACGCCGCGUGAGGGAUGACGGCCUUCGGGUUGUAAACCUCUUUCAGCAGGGACGAAGCGUAAGUGACGGUACCUGCAGAAGAAGCGCCGGCCAACUACGUGCCAGCAGCCGCGGUAAGACGUAGGGCGCGAGCGUUGUCCGGAUUUAUUGGGCGUAAAGAGCUCGUAGGCGGC
RNAcentral lists this ribosomal RNA (530 nucleotides) under Micromonospora aurantiaca (nom. illeg.). RNAcentral's name for it is "bacterial SSU rRNA". It matches the Rfam family "Bacterial small subunit ribosomal RNA", at positions 31 to 579 of the family's 1533-position model. Lineage: Bacteria; Bacillati; Actinomycetota; Actinomycetes; Micromonosporales; Micromonosporaceae. The record is from RNAcentral.